AUGCCCGCGACCUCCAGCCGGCGCCCACCUUCCCCCGCCCCCGCCUCCUUCCGGGCGCGACGCCGGCCCCGCCUCCUCCGGCGCGAAGCCGCCGCCACCAACUCCUCUUGGCGCGUCGCCGCCCCUGGGUCCCGAAGCGCCCCCCUGCCGCAGCCGGCCCCGACUCCUCCGGCGCGAGGUCGCCGCCCCCAUCUCCUCCGGCGCGAGGCCGCCGCUCCCACCUCCUCCUGGUGCACUGCCGCCCCCUUGUCCCGACAGGCCUCCGGCCUCCGCCGCAACCACCACGCCGGCCUCCCUCCCCCUGGAUCCACCGCGGCGGCGGCCUCCCUGCCCCUGGAUCCACCGCGACGGUGCAUCGCUCCCCCUGGUUCCACAGCGGCGGCGGCGGAUAGCCUCCCCCUGGAUCCACCAGCCAUCAACCUCCCCCCGAGCACCUCCCUUCCUGUGCUGCAACCGGGCCACCGCUACUGCGCCACCCGCCCCAAACACCGUAGCUCCUCCUUGAUGAAUACAUCACGGAUGGCCUCCUGCUCAACGACGGCGCCAACCUAA
RNAcentral lists this ribosomal RNA (552 nucleotides) under Triticum aestivum (bread wheat). RNAcentral describes it as "partial small subunit ribosomal RNA". Lineage: Eukaryota; Viridiplantae; Streptophyta; Magnoliopsida; Poales; Poaceae. The record is from RNAcentral.